AUUGAACGCUGGCGGCAUGCCUUACACAUGCAAGUCGAACGGCAGCACGGGAGCAAUCCUGGUGGCGAGUGGCGAACGGGUGAGUAAAGUAUCGGAACGUGCCCAGUCGUGGGGGAUAACGUAGCGAAAGUUACGCUAAUACCGCAUACGAUCUAUGGAUGAAAGCGGGGGAUCGCAAGACCUCGCGCGAUUGGAGCGGCCGGUAUCAGAUUAGGUAGUUGGUGGGGUAAAGGCUCACCAAGCCGACGAUCUGUAGCUGGUCUGAGAGGACGACCAGCCACACUGGGACUGAGACACGGCCCAGACUCCUACGGGAGGCAGCAGUGGGGAAUUUUGGACAAUGGGCGAAAGCCUGAUCCAGCCAUGCCGCGUGCAGGAUGAAGGCCUUCGGGUUGUAAACUGCUUUUGUACGGAACGAAAAGGUUUGGGCUAAUACAGGGGGCUCAUGACGGUACCGUAAGAAUAAGCCACGGCUAACUCUGUGCCAGCAGCCGCCGUAA
This 500-nucleotide ribosomal RNA is filed under the name uncultured bacterium. RNAcentral's name for it is "partial 16S ribosomal RNA". It matches the Rfam family "Bacterial small subunit ribosomal RNA", at positions 30 to 523 of the family's 1533-position model. The record is from RNAcentral.